Molecule: long non-coding RNA, 937 nt
Filed under: Equus asinus (donkey)
Lineage: Eukaryota; Metazoa; Chordata; Mammalia; Perissodactyla; Equidae
Description: lncRNA (ENSEASG00005036098.1, ENSEASG00020037449.1)
Source: RNAcentral
AAGAACCAACCAGAGACCACUUAUUCUCCUCCCCUUCUGACCCCAGAAGAGGACUUUCCUCUUUGAAGCAAGUGCUCAGCCUCUUCUGUAGCUGCCAGAGGAGAUCAGAGGCCCCCAGGGAGCCAGAACCCUCUCUCCCCACCCCCACCACACAGGCAGCCCCAUCAGAGCAUCCUGGUCUGAGCACAGAGCCUGGGACCCUAGGCACACGUUCUCUGGCUUCUGCAGAAACGUUGUUCUCCAUGGGGUGAGACCCAAGGAGCAUGACUUAGCAUGACUCAGUGAGAGCCCAGGGAAAGUGAGGGCGGCUGUGGUUUCUCCUCUUCCUGUGGAAAGGUCAGCUGAUCCUGGGCCUGGGCUGCAAGCCUGACAUCCUUGCUCUGUUCACUUGGCUCCACAGCCCCACCUCCUCCUCCCUCAGGGCCAGGAUGACACCUCAGGGGACUCACAUCUGAAUCAUCCCGGGAGAUGGAGAGGGAGGAAAUGAGAGGAAUUCUCAGGGAGACAGGCAAAGAUGUAAAUAACUCCUAAGCUCGCAUGCUAGGUGCUAUAGAACGUCCAAGAAGAAUACAAGUGUGAUCCUGACUGAGCUAUCAUGUCUUCGCCCAGAGGACUAACUUGGGGAAAGCAUCGCCCUGAGCUAACAUCUGUUGCCAAUCUUCUUUUUUAUUUCCUCCCCAAAGCCCCAGUGCCUGGUUGUAUGUUCUGGUUGUAAGUCAUUUCAGUUCUAUGUGAGCUGUCACCACAGUGUGGCAUCUGACAAACGGGUGGUGUGUUUCUGCAACUGGGAAACAAACGCUGGCCGCCAAGGCGGUGAGCAUUGAAAUUUAACCACUAGGCCAUCAGGACUGGCCCCAUAAAGCCUUUUUAACAAGACCCAAAGUACAGUUGGUGCACCUCUUCUCUGAACUCCUACACAGGCUGUAAGCAAUCAAUU